CUGAAACUAAAACUAAUUUUAUUUCCUUCCUCUAAAACUAAUUUUAUUUCCUUCCUCUUCCUACGUCUGCCCAUCUAAGCAAGCCACAUCUCCAUAAUUUCUCUCGAGAGUCUUGUGUCACGUCCCUUGCAAGUUAGUUUAUUAAUUCAUACAAUCUCAAGAUCAACGUGCGACAUUUAGUCCUACCAAAAGUUAAGAAUGAACUAAGUUAGCCUUACACCAACAAAAUAGCCCAAAUAAAUUAAUAGGCUAUUCAAAGUAGCAAGACGAAAACUAGGUGGGACAAUUAAAAUAAAGGAGGAAGGAUUUGUGGGAUUAGAGUUGAAAAAGGAAGCCUUUGAUUCAUAAAAGAAAAAGUAUAAGGGCUAAAGUAUAAUUUUACAAAGUCUACAAGGACUCCAUUGUAAAAGAGGAUUCUCGGCUACACAACUCUUU
Molecule: long non-coding RNA, 435 nt
Filed under: Manihot esculenta (cassava)
Lineage: Eukaryota; Viridiplantae; Streptophyta; Magnoliopsida; Malpighiales; Euphorbiaceae
Description: long non-coding RNA (MESC_LNC005536)
Source: RNAcentral